AACGAACGCUGGCGGCAUGCCUAACACAUGCAAGUCGAACGAGACCUUCGGGUCUAGUGGCGCACGGGUGCGUAACGCGUGGGAACCUGCCCUUAGGUUCGGAAUAACUCCCCGAAAGGGGUGCUAAUACCGGAUAAUGUCUUCGGACCAAAGAUUUAUCGCCUUUGGAUGGGCCCGCGUUGGAUUAGCUAGUUGGUAGGGUAAAAGCCUACCAAGGCGACGAUCCAUAGCUGGUCUGAGAGGAUGAUCAGCCACACUGGGACUGAGACACGGCCCAGACUCCGACGGGAGGGAGCAGUGGGGAAUAUUGGACAAGGGGCGAAAGCCUGAUCAAGCAAUGCCGCGGGAGUGAUGAAGGCCUUAGGGUUGUAAAGCUCUUUUACCCGGGAUGAUAAUGACGGUACCGGGAGAAUAAGCACCGGCUAACUCCGUG
Molecule: ribosomal RNA, 433 nt
Filed under: uncultured bacterium
Lineage: Bacteria
Description: partial 16S ribosomal RNA
Rfam family: Bacterial small subunit ribosomal RNA
Source: RNAcentral